This 497-nucleotide ribosomal RNA is filed under the name uncultured bacterium. RNAcentral's name for it is "partial 16S ribosomal RNA". It matches the Rfam family "Bacterial small subunit ribosomal RNA", at positions 28 to 507 of the family's 1533-position model. The record is from RNAcentral.
GAUGAACGCUGGCGGCGUGCCUAAUACAUGCAAGUCGAGCGAACAGACGAGGAGCUUGCCCCUCUGACGUUAGCGGCGGACGGGUGAGUAACACGUGGAUAACCUACCUAUAAGACUGGGAUAACUUCGGGAAACCGGAGCUAAUACCGGAUAAUAUAUUGAACCGCAUGGUUCAAUAGUGAAAGACGGUUUUGCUGUCACUUAUAGAUGGAUCCGCGCCGCAUUAGCUAGUUGGUAAGGUAACGGCUUACCAAGGCAACGAUGCGUAGCCGACCUGAGAGGGUGAUCGGCCACACUGGAACUGAGACACGGUCCAGACUCCUACGGGAGGCAGCAGUAGGGAAUCUUCCGCAAUGGGCGAAAGCCUGACGGAGCAACGCCGCGUGAAUGAUGAAGGUCUUCGGAUCGUAAAACUCUGUUAUUAGGGAAGAACAAAUGUGUAAGUAACUAUGCACGUCUUGACGGUACCUAAUCAGAAAGCCACGGCUAACUACGUG